Molecule: ribosomal RNA, 292 nt
Filed under: uncultured bacterium
Lineage: Bacteria
Description: partial 16S ribosomal RNA
Source: RNAcentral
GGACUACUGGGGUUUCUAAUCCUGUUUGCUCCCCACGCUGUCGCGCCUCAGCGUCAGCUACUGCCCAGCAGGCCGCCUUCGCCACCGGUGUUCUUCCGGAUCUCUACGCAUUCCACCGCUACACCCGGAAUUCCACCUGCCUCUACAGUGCUCGAGUGAAGGAGUAUCCUUGGCCGACUCGCAGUUGAGCCACGAGCUUUCACCACGGACUUCCCCCACCGCCUACGCGCCCUUUACGCCCAGUGAUUCCGGACAACGCUCGCACCCUCCGUAUUACCGCGGCUGCUGGCAC